CCUUACGGGCGGUGAGUGCAAUUGCAGUUGAUACUGCGUCGCUUGAGUGCACACAGGGAUGUUGGAAUUCAUGGUGUAGCGGUGAAAUGCUUAGAUAUCAUGAAGAACUCCGAUCGCGAAGGCAUAUGUCCGGAGUGCAACUGACGCUGAGGCUCAAAAGUGUGGGUAUCAAACAGGAUUAGAUACCCUGGUAGUCCACACAGUAAACGAUGAAUACUCGCGGUUGGUUCGUUAGAGUCAGCCGCCAAGCGAAAGCGUUAAGUAUUCCACCUGGGGAGUACGCCGGCAACGGUGAAACUCAAAGGAAUUGACGGGGGCCCGCACAAGCGGAGGAACAUGUGGUUUAUUUCGAUGA
This 355-nucleotide ribosomal RNA is filed under the name uncultured bacterium. Its description in RNAcentral is "bacterial SSU rRNA". It matches the Rfam family "Bacterial small subunit ribosomal RNA", at positions 607 to 957 of the family's 1533-position model. The record is from RNAcentral.